UACGAAGGGAGCUAGCGUUGUUCGGAAUCACUGGGCGUAAAGCGCACGUAGGCGGCUUGUUAAGUCAGGGGUGAAAUCCUGGAGCUCAACUCCAGAACUGCCUUUGAUACUGGCGAGCUUGAGUCCGGGAGAGGUAAGUGGAACUGCGAGUGUAGAGGUGAAAUUCGUAGAUAUUCGCAAGAACACCAGUGGCGAAGGCGGCUCACUGGCCCGGUACUGACGCUGAGGUGCGAAAGCGUGGGGAGCAAACAGG
This 253-nucleotide ribosomal RNA is filed under the name uncultured bacterium. RNAcentral's name for it is "partial 16S ribosomal RNA". It matches the Rfam family "Bacterial small subunit ribosomal RNA", at positions 524 to 776 of the family's 1533-position model. The record is from RNAcentral.